GUGCCUCCUCGGAUGGACAGCUGGCACGGCGGAGCCGGACUGCCCGCGCGGGACAACCAGGAAGGAGCCCAGGAAUGGAGUGGCAGACAAAGGGAAACAGAGAGCCGGCGGGCGGGGCGGGGCGCCGAGGCGGGGGAAACAAAGCCCAGCUCGGAGUGGGGGCUGGGCCGGGGCAGGCAGGUCGAGCUGGAGCCUGCCAAGUUCUAGCCUGAGAGUCACGAGUCGGGGCACUGUCGGCGAGAGACGAUGCUCGGGGACAGGACCUAGAGACUGGGUACCAGAGACAAAGAGAUGUAGAAACAGAUAAGAACCGUCAAGUCACCCUAAUGGAAUCAGGGGCCCUAAGAGGCGGAGAGCCUGGAGAGAAACGGGCGGGAGACAGAACAAAGGACGACAGGCGGAGACAAAGGUAGAAAAACAAAGAAAGGCUUUGCAAAGGCCAAGCCCAGGGAGGGACUGAAGAAUAAACCCUGCCUCCAUCUUGCUGGAGUCACGUUCCAAAGGAUCCAGGCCCUAGAAGCAUAACCCCGGCAUCUUAUGUUGUAGGCAGGUUUUCCUUUAUAGAGGUGAGUACCCAGAGGCUUCCGUCCUGCCACUAAAGCGAGUGCUAACGGGGUUUUUAUUAAUUCGUUAUGUUUUAGCAGUACAUAAUGUUAUUUGUAUUAUAUUAGAUUUGUCAAUAAAGCAGAAGUUAGAGAUAAAGUUAAACCAUG
Long non-coding RNA from Mus musculus (house mouse), 713 nucleotides. RefSeq annotates it as predicted gene 4532. The record is from RefSeq and is marked validated. The transcript has a single exon. Lineage: Eukaryota; Metazoa; Chordata; Mammalia; Rodentia; Muridae.